Molecule: ribosomal RNA, 440 nt
Filed under: uncultured bacterium
Lineage: Bacteria
Description: partial 16S ribosomal RNA
Rfam family: Bacterial small subunit ribosomal RNA
Source: RNAcentral
CCUACGGGUGGCAGCAGUGGGGAAUAUUGCACAAUGGGGGGAACCCUGAUGCAGCGACGCCGCGUGAGUGAAGAAGUAUUUCGGUAUGUAAAGCUCUAUCAUCAGGGAAGAAAAUGACGGUACCUGACUAAGAAGCCCCGGCUAACUCCGUGCCAGCAGCCGCGGUAAUACGUAGGGGGCAAGCGUUACCCGGAUUUACUGGGUGUAAAGGGAGCGCAGACGGCUGUGCAAGUCAGGAGUGAAAGGCGGGGGCGCAACCCCCGGACUGCUGUGGAAACUGUAAAGCUGGAGUGCAGGAGAGGUAAGCGGAAUUCCUGGUGUAGCGGUGAAAUGCGUAGAUAUUAGGAGGAACACCAGUGGCGAAGGCGGCUUGCUGGACUGCAACUGACGUUGAGGCGCGAAAGCGUGGGGAGCAAACAGGAUUAGAUACCCCUGUAGUC